RNAcentral lists this long non-coding RNA (1240 nucleotides) under Homo sapiens (human). Its description in RNAcentral is "HSALNT0172546". Lineage: Eukaryota; Metazoa; Chordata; Mammalia; Primates; Hominidae. The record is from RNAcentral.
CCUAGUGCCUAGAAUGCCCCUGCUCCUGCCUUUCAUAUGGCCUGGACUGUUGCUUCAUUCAGAUGUCAAUGUCACUUCCUCAGAGAGUCCUUACCACUUCAUCUAACAUGCCAGCCCUAUAACACCCUAUUCCUUUAACUUGCUUCUAUUUUUUCUCACGGCAUUUAUUGACUUCCUGCCAUUACAUUUUCUAUUUAAUUGUUUAUUUCUUCAUUGUCUGUGUUCUCCUAUUAGAAUAUAAGCUCUAGGAAAGCAGGUGUCUUUGUCAGAUUUGCUCACUGCUGUAUCUCCAGCGCCUAGAACAGAGUCCAUCAUAGAAUAAACAAUAAAUAAUUUGCUGGAUCAAAAACCAAAUGAAUGCAAUUUGCAAAUUGCUUUGUUUUGCUUCAUUUUUUUGUCCUGGUUGACAGGAAGUUUAGUAUUACAUUUAAUGGUGAGUCAUGGUAACAUAUUAGUCUUCAUUGUAAACACAUAUGUGUCUUCCUUUUUUAAUAUUCUGGUACUCUACUUUUAUUCUAAUAACAUCAUACAUCUCCUUUAUUUUAAGAUACAUCUAUUUCAGAAUGUGACAGAAAAACACCAAUAGGCAGGAAAGAGGGGGCGGAAGGAAUUCACCGUACUCUCCAGUACCCCAGUUGCUGGCUGGUUAAUGAAGCAUUCUUCUCAUCAAGCUGCCUCAGUUAUUUACCAAGAGAAUGACAACCCAUUCCCCACCCCCAGCUCGAACACCCACUGUGAUCAGCUCCCUCACUUCAUGACAAUGAGGCGAUAUGUGUGGGACUGGUUUUCGCAUAACUACAAAGCUUCAAAAAAAAAGUGAGACCGUCCCUGCUGUGUUUGGUGGCUGUGGAGUUGAUGGCAUCUUUGCUCCAGGUGACACCUGCAUGCUGGCCAGCUGAGCGGCAUAGAGCUGCUGCAAAACAGGGAAGACAAACAUUGAUCUCUUUAAAUGCAGCUGAAAUUGAGUUUCAAAAGAAAAAACUUACCAUAUUGUUAGAUUUCUCAGACAGCCUUGUAAUUUCUUUUUCACUAUUUUUAAAAAAGGAAGCUAAGAGAAGGCAAAUAAUAAAACAGAAAGAAAAAGGACAGGUAUGGGAGCCAUAGUUCUGUUUCUGGUCCUUCUAGCAACAACUUUAUGAUCCUGGACAAAGGAUUUGAUCUCUUUAGAAUUCAGGUUUUUUUUUUUAAUUGUACAAAAAGGAAUUCAACUAAGUAGCCUCUAAGAUGCUUUUUAAUGCCU